This is a non-coding RNA of Pelobates cultripes (western spadefoot toad), 258 nucleotides long. Lineage: Eukaryota; Metazoa; Chordata; Amphibia; Anura; Pelobatidae. The record is from the annotation of a GenBank genome assembly.
CUUUAACAAUCACUUUCCAGUUAUUCUCCUGCAGUCUGUAAUGAAAAAAAACACAAAUCCUAGAAAUUCACUCUGACACUGUGCAGCCAGGGGUCAGAUCAGGUUUCCACAGACAAAGAGGAGCAGCCUGCCUCUGGAGAACAAAACCCCAAUCGUAUCCAAUCUACAAAACAUUGGCCCUCGAGGCCUAACUAUUUCAAAGGGAAUAUAAUGAGCUUCCGUAGAAAGGUUAACAUUUGAAGGUUUUUCUGAUCUGAC